GAAGGUGUAGCUCAGUGGUAGGGUACAUGCCUACCAUGCUCCAGGUCCUGGGUUCAAUCCCCAGUACCUUCA
This 72-nucleotide transfer RNA is filed under the name Camelus bactrianus (Bactrian camel). It matches the Rfam family "tRNA". From Rfam's summary of the family: Transfer RNA (tRNA) molecules are approximately 80 nucleotides in length. The record is from Rfam by way of RNAcentral. Lineage: Eukaryota; Metazoa; Chordata; Mammalia; Artiodactyla; Camelidae. RNAcentral also lists the same sequence under 1 other name.